RNAcentral lists this ribosomal RNA (531 nucleotides) under uncultured bacterium. Its description in RNAcentral is "bacterial SSU rRNA". It matches the Rfam family "Bacterial small subunit ribosomal RNA", at positions 777 to 1304 of the family's 1533-position model. The record is from RNAcentral.
AAUAGAUACCCCGGUAGUCCACGCCGUAAACGUUGGGCGCUAGAUGUGGGGACCAUUCCACGGUUUCCGCGUCGUAGCUAACGCAUUAAGCGCCCCGCCUGGGGAGUACGGCCGCAAGGCUAAAACUCAAAGGAAUUGACGGGGGCCCGCACAAGCGGCGGAGCAUGCGGAUUAAUUCGAUGCAACGCGAAGAACCUUACCAAGGCUUGACAUAUGCGAGAACGCUCUAGAAAUAGAGAACUCUUUGGACACUCGUAUACAGGUGGUGCAUGGUUGUCGUCAGCUCGUGUCGUGAGAUGUUGGGUUAAGUCCCGCAACGAGCGCAACCCUCGUCGCAUGUUGCCAGCACGUAAUGGUGGGAACUCAUGUGAGACUGCCGGGGUCAACUCGGAGGAAGGUGGGGAUGACGUCAAAUCAUCAUGCCCCUUAUGUCUUGGGCUUCACGCAUGCUACAAUGGCCGGUACAAAGGGCUGCGAAACCGCAAGGUGGAGCGAAUCCCGAAAAAAGCCGGUCUCAGUUCGGAUUGAGGU